GAUGAACGCUGGCGGCGUGCCUAAUACAUGCAAGUCGAGCGAACAGACGAGGAGCUUGCUCCUCUGACGUUAGCGGCGGACGGGUGAGUAACACGUGGAUAACCUACCUAUAAGACUGGGAUAACUUCGGGAAACCGGAGCUAAUACCGGAUAACAUGUUGAACCGCAUGGUUCAACAGUGAAAGACGGUUUUGCUGUCACUUAUAGAUGGAUCCGCGUCGCAUUAGCUAGUUGGUAAGGUAACGGCUUACCAAGGCAACGAUGCGUAGCCGACCUGAGAGGGUGAUCGGCCACACUGGAACUGAGACACGGUCCAGACUCCUACGGGAGGCAGCAGUAGGGAAUCUUCCGCAAUGGGCGAAAGCCUGACGGAGCAACGCCGCGUGAGUGAAGAAGGUCUUCGGAUCGUAAAACUCUGUUAUUAGGGAAGAACAAAUGUGUAAGUAACUAUGCACGUCUUGACGGUACCUAAUCUGAAAGCCACGGCUAACUACGUG
RNAcentral lists this ribosomal RNA (497 nucleotides) under uncultured bacterium. RNAcentral describes it as "partial 16S ribosomal RNA". It matches the Rfam family "Bacterial small subunit ribosomal RNA", at positions 28 to 507 of the family's 1533-position model. The record is from RNAcentral.